AGGACGAACGCUGGCGGCGUGCUUAACACAUGCAAGUCGAGCGGAAAGGCUCCUUCGUGGGUACUCGAGCGGCGAACGGGUGAGUAACACGUGAGUAAUCUGCCCUCCACUCUGGGGUAACGUUCAGAAAUGGGUGCUAAUACCGGAUGUUCACAGGUUCACGCAUGUGGGUUUGUGGAAAGGUUUUUCUGGUGGGGGAUGUGCUCGCGGCCUAUCAGCUUGUUGGUGGGGUAAUGGCCUACCAAGGCUUUGACGGGUAGCCGGCCUGAGAGGGUGACCGGCCACACUGGGACUGAGACACGGCCCAGACUCCUACGGGAGGCAGCAGUGGGGAAUAUUGCACAAUGGGCGAAAGCCUGAUGCAGCGACGCCGCGUGAGGGAUGAAGGCCUUCGGGUUGUAAACCUCUUUCAGCAGGGAAGAAGCGAAAGUGACGGUACCUGCAGAAGAAGCACCGGCUAACUACGUGACCAGCAGCCGC
RNAcentral lists this ribosomal RNA (480 nucleotides) under uncultured bacterium. RNAcentral's name for it is "SSU rRNA". It matches the Rfam family "Bacterial small subunit ribosomal RNA", at positions 26 to 518 of the family's 1533-position model. The record is from RNAcentral.